UCAUCUGCUGUGGGUGUUCCUGAUCUUUGAGCCAUGAUAAUGUUACUGGUUGGAUGUCAGGAGCAGGCCAUGUGGAUGAUUAAAAGAUGAAUAUCAUAUACAGCAUGGAUAUGUUGGACAAAAAGAUGAUUCACAUCCCAGACAGAAUGGAGCAGCACAUUUAUUAAAAGCCAGAAGCUAGAAGACGAGGAAAGAAGAGGUGGUUAAAGAAAGAUACAGUAACAGCAGUAAUAUCUAACAGGAAGGCUACAGGGGAAAAUACAGAAAUUCCAUAAAGAACAAACACUGUAACUCAAAACCAAAGCUUUGCUAGUCACUAGUGCCCGCUACAUCCUAACAGAUGCAGCUGGAGAGCCUGGGGUGAGAACAUGAGCAGUCUAUAAUCAGAAAAUCCCUUUGGGAUAAAUUGACAAAAAUAUAAACCACUCCACAAAGGAGAAAUUGUAAAUGGUAAACAAAAGAACGUGACACCCUGAAUUGGAUGAAGAAAUAUCUUGUCUGGAAGAGAAACUGAAAACAGGAAUACUCAGAAAGACUGAAAAUAAGAGGAUGGAGAAAAUAUGUCAAGCAUUUUCUAAAAUUCAACGAGUGCUGACAGACAGGUGUCAACACCGCAACAGAGCUGGGUCAAGGUCGGACGUAUAAUAGAACAGCAGCAGCAGCAGAGGUAGGAGGAAGGAUGUAGCAGCAGCCGAAGGAGACACCGUGAGGCCAGGUCAGGGGCCCAGGAGCCUCCGCGUGGACAGCUUCAGCUCCAUCCAAGCUGCCGGAUUGGAGGGCGCCUGCCCCCAGCAGCAGGUGGCCUUAAAGAUUCAGCUCUGAGAAACAAAUGUGGAGGGGGUUUGUGGAGGGAUUAUUGUGGGGUGCGUGGGGCCCUCUGAGGUGAUCUGCUGCAGAAUAACUAAUACCUAUUGUAACAGAGGAGUAUAGAUUUAUAAAAUACAUGACAAAUGCUUAAUAAAAAAGAAAAAAGUGAAAUGAAAAAUGAAGAUCAGAGUGGUAGACAAAG
RNAcentral lists this long non-coding RNA (1009 nucleotides) under Homo sapiens (human). RNAcentral's name for it is "HSALNT0324424". The record is from RNAcentral. Lineage: Eukaryota; Metazoa; Chordata; Mammalia; Primates; Hominidae.